This 2850-nucleotide ribosomal RNA is filed under the name Ulva compressa. Its description in RNAcentral is "23S ribosomal RNA". It matches the Rfam family "Bacterial large subunit ribosomal RNA". The record is from RNAcentral. Lineage: Eukaryota; Viridiplantae; Chlorophyta; Ulvophyceae; Ulvales; Ulvaceae.
GUCAAAUAUAUUAAAAUUUACGAUGGAUACCUAGGCAUUUAGAGUCGAUGAAGGGCGUGGAUACCAACGAAAUGCUUCGGUUAGUUGGAAACAAACUUUGAUCCGAAGAUUCCCGAAUAGGAAAACCUAUAUAACUACUUAAUGAAUUCAUAAUUAAGUAAGAGACAACCUGCUGAAUUGAAACAUCUUAGUAAGCAGAGGAAAAGAAAGCAAACGCGAUUUCCUUAGUAGCGGCGAGCGAAACGGAAAUAGUCUAAUCAUUGAAAAAAAAAAACUAUUAAACGAAGCAGCUGAAUCCUGCACCAUAGAUGGUGAAAGUCCAGUAGUUUAAAAUAGAAAAAAAUGAUUAUAAAGUAGCAUGGAACACGUGAAAUUCCGUGUGAAUAUACGAGGACCACCUCGUAAGACUAAAUACUCCUAAAUGACCGAUAGUGAAACAGUACCGUGAGGGAAAGGUGAAAAAGAACCCCUGUAGGGGAGUGAAAAAGAACAUGAAAUCGUAAAUUGACAAUCAGUGGGAGCUAAAGUGACCGCGUGCCUGUUGAAGAAUGAGCCGGCGACUUAUAGGUAGUGGCCAGGUUAAAAUAACUUUUUGGAGCCAAAGCGAAAGCAAGUCUGAUAAGGGCGUAUGUCACUAUUUAUAGACCCGAACCCGAGUGAUCUAACCAUGGCCAGGAUGAAUCUUGGGUAACACCAAGUGGAAGACCGAACCGACUGAUGUUGAAAAAUCAGCGGAUGAGCUGUGGUUAGGGGUGAAAUUCCAGUCGAACUCGGAGCUAGCUGGAUCUCCUCGAAAUGUGUUGAGGCGCAGCGGUUGAUGACGGGCUAUUUAGGGGUAAAGCACUGUUUCGGUGCGGGCUGCGAAAGCGGUACCAAAUCGUGGCAAACUAAGAAUACUAAAUAUGCUUUCCAUCAACCAGUAAGACAGUGGGGGAUAAGCUUCAUUGUCAAAAGGGAAACAGCCCAGAUCACCAGUUAAGGCCCCAAAGUGAUGGCUAAGUGAUAAAGGAAGUAAAAAGGCAAAGACAACCAGAAGGUUUGCUUAGAAGCAGCCAUCCUUGAAAGAGUGCGUAAUAGCUCACUGGUAGAGCCUUUUUGCGCCGAAAAUGAACGGGGCUAAGUCAUCCGCCGAAACUGUGGGUUACAGUUAAAAUACUGUUACGGUAGAGGAGCGUUCCGUUAUAGGGUGAAGUUAAAAUGUGAAUUUUAAUGGACGAAACGGAAGUGAGAAUGUCGGCUUGAGUAACGAAAACAUUGGUGAGAAUCCAAUGCCCCGAAAACCUAAGGGUUCCUUCACAAGGUUCGUCCAUGGAGGGUUAGUCAGGACCUAAGGCGAGAUCGAAAGGUGUAGUCGAUGGAAAACAGGUUAAUAUUCCUGUACUUGAUUAGGUUUGGUAAAGAGGGACGGAGAAGGCGGUAACUAGCUAGAUAUUGGUAUUCUAGUAGAAGUAUUGAAUUCUUAAAACAAUGAAAAAAAACUUUGUUUAGAAAACAUGCGACCUGACUGGAACUUUAUUAUAUAAAGUUUCGGUUUAGUUUUAGUCAUACUUCCAAGAAAAGCUCUUAUUACCAUUAAAUUUAAUCAACCUGUACCCUAAACUGACACAAGUAGGUAGGUAGAGAAUACUAAGGGGCGCGAGAUAACUCUCUCUAAGGAACUCGGCAAAAUGGCCCCGUAACUUCGGGAGAAGGGGUGCCUAUAUUAUAUAGGCCGCAGUGACCAGGCCCAGGCGACUGUUUAUCAAAAACACAGGUCUCCGCAAAGUCGUAAGACAAUGUAUGGGGGCUGACGUCUGCCCAGUGCCGGAAGGUAAAAGAAGUUGGUUAUUCCUCGGAAAAAGCUGACGACUGAAGCCCCGGUGAACGGCGGCUGUAACUCUGACAGUCCUAAGGUAGCGAAAUUCCUUGUCGAGUAAGUUUCGACCCGCACGAAAGACGUAACGAUCUGGGCACUGUCUCGGAGAGAGACUCGGUGAAAUAGAAAUGUCUGUGAAGAUGCGGACUACUUAUACCAGGACAGAAAGACCCUAUGAAGCUUGACUGUAAUUUGGAAUUGGAUUCGGGCUUUUUUUGCGCAGUCUAGGUGGGAGGCGUUGAUAUUAAGUUUUCGGACUUAAUUGAGCCAUCAGUGAGAGACCACUCUAAAAGAGCUAGAAUUCUAAUAGGAUUCCUUGAAUCAGGAUCCUUGACAGUUUCAGAUGGACAGUUUGACUGGGGCGGUGACCUCCCAAAAGGUAACGGAGGUGUGCAAAGGUUCCCUCAAGCUGGACGGAAAUCAGCUGUAGAGUGCAAAGGUAUAAGGGAGCUUGACUGCAAGACCAACAAGUCGAGCAGAGGCGAAAGCCGGCCUUAGUGAUCCGACGGUUCCGAGUGGAAGGGCCGUCGCUCAACGGAUAAAAGUUACUCUAGGGAUAACAGGCUGAUCUCCCCCAAGAGUUCACAUCGACGGGGAGGUUUGGCACCUCGAUGUCGUUUCAUCGCAACCUGGGGCUGGAGUAGGUCCCAAGGGUUGGGCUGUUCGCCCAUAAAAGCGGUACGUGAGAUGGGUUCAGAACGUCGCGAGACAGUUCGGUCCAUAUCCGGUAUAAGCGCAAGAGCAUUGAGAGGAUCUCAACAUUGUACGAGAGGACCCGAAGGGACGUACCGAUGGUGUACCAGUUCUUAUGCCAAUAGGAAACGCUGGGUAGCUAUGUACGGAGUGGAUAAUCGCUGAAAGCAUUUAAGUGAGAAGCCCACCUCAAGAUGAAUGCUCUCUAUUAGAUCGCGGCAAGACAAGCCGAUAGAUUGGCAUCAAGUGUAAGAUUAGUAAUAAUUUCAGCUGAGAUGUACAAAGGAUCGAUUGAUUUUGAC